RNAcentral lists this ribosomal RNA (253 nucleotides) under uncultured bacterium. RNAcentral's name for it is "partial 16S ribosomal RNA". It matches the Rfam family "Bacterial small subunit ribosomal RNA", at positions 524 to 776 of the family's 1533-position model. The record is from RNAcentral.
GACAGAGGGUGCAAACGUUGUUCGGAAUUACUGGGCGUAAAGCGCGUGUAGGCUGCUCGGAAAGUCGGGUGUGAAAGCCCUGGGCUCAACCUAGGAAGUGCACUCGAAACUUCCGAGCUGGAGUGCUGGAGAGGAAGGCGGAAUUCUCGGUGUAGAGGUGAAAUUCGUAGAUAUCGAGAGGAACGUCGGUGGCGAAGGCGGCCUUCUGGACAGCGACUGACGCUGAGACGCGAAAGCGGGGGGACGAACCAGG